GACGAACGCUGGCGGCGUGCCUAACACAUGCAAGUCAGGGAUUGGAAGGUAGCAAUACUUUUCAAGACCGGCGCACGGGUGAGUAACACGUAGGUAAUCUGCCCUCGGGCGGGGAACAACCUCGAGAAAUCGGAGCUAAUACCGCAUGAUGCAACGAGACCACAUGGUUUUGUUGUUAAAGAUCCGCAAGGAGUCACCGGAGGAUGAACCUCGCGUCCGAUUAGCUAGUUGGUGGAGUAAUAGCCCACCAAGGCGACGAUCGGUAGCCGACCUGAGAGGGUGAUCGGCCACACUGGGAACUGAGACACGGUCCGAGACUCCUACGGGAGGCAGCAGUGAGGAAUAUUGGUCAAUGGCCGAAAGGACUGAACCAGCAACGCCGCGUGAGGGAGUGAAGGUCUAAGGAUUGUAAACCUCU
RNAcentral lists this ribosomal RNA (418 nucleotides) under uncultured bacterium. RNAcentral describes it as "bacterial SSU rRNA". It matches the Rfam family "Bacterial small subunit ribosomal RNA", at positions 28 to 434 of the family's 1533-position model. The record is from RNAcentral.